Molecule: non-coding RNA, 1081 nt
Organism: Phasianus colchicus (ring-necked pheasant)
Lineage: Eukaryota; Metazoa; Chordata; Aves; Galliformes; Phasianidae
Source: RefSeq, a predicted model, not a curated record
ACUGACCUCAAAGAACAUCAAGUCCCAACCCCCUGCCAUCAGCAGGGUUACCAACCACUAAGUCAAGCACCAGAUCUGGCUGCCCAAUACUGCAUCCAACCCGACCUUGAACAUCUCCAGGGAUGGGGCAUCCACAGCUUAUCUAGAGGAACACUUGAAGCAGAGAAACAGUGCUGGGGGAAGCGAUGGGAAGGAAAGCCUGAAGAUCAAUACUGCCUGCGUCCUGUGCAGCAUCAGUGAUCCCAGGGAGCAAUUCACAGAACAAAGAAAACAAAACUGGAAAGUUUUCUGACCAGGCUGUGAUGCAAAGGUAGGAAAAUGCCUGGAAAUGCUGCAGCAAAACCAUCAGUUGGUGUUUGUCAUGAAGAGGAGGAGGGCUGAGAGGCAGAGGGAGGCACACGUGCAAACUUAAGCUGUUUUAAUCUUCCAACAGAGGACCGAAUGGGGUAGGAAUAUUUGCCACCAAAUGUUUUCAAAGGGAGUGAAGGGAAUACUGCUGCACCUUUUCCAUUUGUUUUGCCAGUCCUGUACAGAGCAAAGCAACAAAGUAUGACUGCUUUACAAUAUGGUUGCCUGUGCUGCAUGGCACCUUGGGUGUCUCCAGGGAUGGGGCACCCACCACCUCUCAGGGCAACCUGUGCCAGUGCUUCUCCACUUUUUCCUUAUAUCCUGGUGCAUUACUUGAUAAGUAAGUAUAGGAUAAAUCAGUACAGGACUUGCAGACAAGGAUUGGUAAGACCAAACUGGUGCAGGACUUGGAUAAGAUGUUGUCAGGCCCAUAGGUUGGUGAUUUCCAUAAGGUCCCAUCUUACCCAAAGUGGUUUACCAACAUUAUCCUCACUUAGCAGCCAUAUGGAGCAGUGGUCUCUCGAUGGACUGUGGACCUUAUAGGACUCUGUAAGGUCCUUGAGCUCCUUGAGACCUGAGAUGCCCUUUUGUCAUUAAGAAGUAGCAUAGUUUUGUGGUCUACAUAUUAUGACCUGUGGAUAUGAGAAAAGACAACUUGCUGGCCCCUUGUCUGUGGCAUCUAUAGAAUCAUAGGAUAAUUAAGGUUGGAAAAGACCUCUAAGAUCCCCAAGCU